RNAcentral lists this ribosomal RNA (545 nucleotides) under Knufia petricola. Its description in RNAcentral is "partial large subunit ribosomal RNA". It matches the Rfam family "Eukaryotic large subunit ribosomal RNA", at positions 87 to 648 of the family's 3401-position model. The record is from RNAcentral. Lineage: Eukaryota; Fungi; Ascomycota; Eurotiomycetes; Chaetothyriales; Trichomeriaceae.
CGGCGAGUGAGCGGCAACAGCUCAAAUUUGAAAUCUGGCCUUUACGGUCCGAGUUGUAAUUUGGAGAGGAUGUUUUGGGUACCGCCACGGUUUAAAUUUCUUGGAACAGAAUGUCAAAGAGGGUGAGAGUCCCGUCUUGGACCGCGGUAGGGCCUGUGUAAAACUCCUUCGAAGAGUCGACUUGUUUGGGAAUGCAGGUCAAAAUGGGUGGUAAAUUUCAUCUAAAGCUAAAUAUUGGCCAGAGACCGAUAGCGCACAAGUAGAGUGAUCGAAAGAUGAAAAGCACUUUGAAAAGAGAGUUAAACAGUAUGUGAAAUUGUUGAAAGGGAAGCGCUGGCAACCAGACUCGUGCGCGGGGUUCCCCCUUGCUUCUGCUUGGGUCACUUCCCCGUGUCCGGGCCAUCAUCAGUUUCGGGGGCCGGUUAAAGGCCCUGGGAAUGUACCCACGCCUUCGGGGGUGGACUUAUAGCCCAGGGUGUCAUGCGGCCACCCGGGACUGAGGAACGCGCUUCGGCGAGGAUGAUGGCGUAAUGGUUGUCAGCGGC